This 456-nucleotide ribosomal RNA is filed under the name Mammaliicoccus lentus. RNAcentral describes it as "bacterial SSU rRNA". It matches the Rfam family "Bacterial small subunit ribosomal RNA", at positions 365 to 814 of the family's 1533-position model. The record is from RNAcentral. Lineage: Bacteria; Bacillati; Bacillota; Bacilli; Caryophanales; Staphylococcaceae.
ACCGUUCGCUGCGCGAGCUGACGGAGCACGCCGCGUGAGUGAUGAAGGUCUUCGGAUCGUAAAACUCUGUUGUUAGGGAAGAACAAAUUUGUUAGUAACUGAACAAGUCUUGACGGUACCUAACCAGAAAGCCACGGCUAACUACGUGCCAGCAGCCGCGGUAAUACGUAGGUGGCAAGCGUUAUCCGGAAUUAUUGGGCGUAAAGCGCGCGUAGGCGGUUUCUUAAGUCUGAUGUGAAAGCCCACGGCUCAACCGUGGAGGGUCAUUGGAAACUGGGAAACUUGAGUGCAGAAGAGGAGAGUGGAAUUCCAUGUGUAGCGGUGAAAUGCGCAGAGAUAUGGAGGAACACCAGUGGCGAAGGCGGCUCUCUGGUCUGUAACUGACGCUGAUGUGCGAAAGCGUGGGGAUCAAACAGGAUUAGAUACCAGGGUAGUCACCUGCUGCUCCCCGUAAGA